UUCCGGUUGAUCCUGCCGGACCUGACUGCUAUCGGAUUGAUACUAAGCCAUGUGAGUCAUUGUAGCAAUACAAGGCAGACGGCUCAGUAACACGUAGCCAAUCUAACCUAUGGACGGGGAUAACCUCGGGAAACUGAGGAUAAACCCCGAUAGAUCAUUAUACCUGGAACGGUUUAUGGUCCAAAUGAUUCGUCGCCGUAGGAUGAGACUGCGGCCUAUCAGCUUGUUGGUGAGGUAAUGGCCCACCAAGGCUAUUACAGGUACGGGCUCUGAGAGGAGAAGCCCGGAGAUGGGUACUGAGACACGGACCCAGGCCCUAUGGGGCGCAGCAGGCGAGAAACCUUUGCAAUGUGCGCAAGCACGACAAGGUUAAUCCGAGUGUUUCCUGCUAAAGGAAUCUUUUGUUAGUCUUAAAAUCACUAUUGAAUAAGGGGUGGGCAAGUUCUGGUGUCAGCCGCCGCGGUAAAACCAGCACCUCAAGUGGUCAGGAGGAUUAUUGGGCCUAAAGCAUCCGUAGCCUGCUCUGUAAGUUUCCGGUUAAAUCCAUUAGCUCAACUAAUGGCCUGCCGGAAAUACUGCAGAGCUAGGAAGUGGGAGAGGUAGACGGUACUCGGUAGGAAGGGGUAAAAUCCUUUGAUCUAUUGAUGACCACCUGUGGCGAAGGCGGUCUACCAGAACACGUUCGACGGUGAGGGAUGAAAGCUGGGGGAGCAAACCGGAUUAGAUACCCGGGUAGUCCCAGCUGUAAACGAUGCAGACUCGGUGAUGCCCUGGCUUGUGGCCAGUGCAGUGCCGCAGGGAAGCCGUUAAGUUUGCCGCCUGGGAAGUACGUACGUAAGUAUGAAACUUAAAGGAAUUGGCGGGGGAGCACCACAAGGGUGAAGCCUGCGGUUCAAUUGGAGUCAAC
RNAcentral lists this ribosomal RNA (907 nucleotides) under uncultured archaeon. RNAcentral describes it as "bacterial SSU rRNA". It matches the Rfam family "Archaeal small subunit ribosomal RNA", at positions 1 to 916 of the family's 1478-position model. The record is from RNAcentral.